UACGUAGGUGGCAAGCGUUGUCCGGAUUUAUUGGGUUUAAAGGGUGCGUAGGCGGCCCUGUAAGUCAGUGCUGAAAUAUCCCGGCUUAACCGGGAGGGUGGCAUUGAUACUGCGGGGCUAGAGUACAGAUGAGGUAGGCGGAAUUGACGGUGUAGCGGUGAAAUGCUUAGAUAUCGUCAAGAACACCUAUAGCGAAGGCAGCUUACUACAGGAUGAUUAACGCUGAGGCACGAAAGCGUGGGGAGCAAACAGG
RNAcentral lists this ribosomal RNA (253 nucleotides) under uncultured bacterium. Its description in RNAcentral is "partial 16S ribosomal RNA". It matches the Rfam family "Bacterial small subunit ribosomal RNA", at positions 524 to 776 of the family's 1533-position model. The record is from RNAcentral.